AAUAGAUACCCUGGUAGUCCACGCCGUAAACGAUGAGUGCUAAGUGUUAGAGGGUUUCCGCCCUUUAGUGCUGCAGCUAACGCAUUAAGCACUCCGCCUGGGGAGUACGACCGCAAGGUUGAAACUCAAAGGAAUUGACGGGGGCCCGCACAAGCGGUGGAGCAUGUGGUUUAAUUCGAAGCAACGCGAAGAACCUUACCAGGUCUUGACAUCCUCUGACCUCUCUAGAGAUAGGGCCUUCCCCUUCGGGGGACAGAGUGACAGGUGGUGCAUGGUUGUCGUCAGCUCGUGUCGUGAGAUGUUGGGUUAAGUCCCGCAACGAGCGCAACCCUUGACCUUAGUUGCCAGCAUUCAGUUGGGCACUCUAAGGUGACUGCCGGUGACAAACCGGAGGAAGGUGGGGAUGACGUCAAAUCAUCAUGCCCCUUAUGACCUGGGCUACACACGUGCUACAAUGGAUGGUACAAAGGGCUGCGAGACCGCGGGGUUAAGCCAAUCCCAUAAAACCAUUCUCAGUUCGGAUUGCAGGCUGCAACG
This 537-nucleotide ribosomal RNA is filed under the name uncultured bacterium. Its description in RNAcentral is "bacterial SSU rRNA". It matches the Rfam family "Bacterial small subunit ribosomal RNA", at positions 777 to 1312 of the family's 1533-position model. The record is from RNAcentral.